UCAGCAUUCAUUGGCACCAGAGA
RNAcentral lists this microRNA (23 nucleotides) under Homo sapiens (human). RNAcentral describes it as "hsa-miR-7157-5p". The record is from miRBase by way of RNAcentral. Lineage: Eukaryota; Metazoa; Chordata; Mammalia; Primates; Hominidae.